Molecule: RNA transcript, 6913 nt
Organism: Zea mays
Lineage: Eukaryota; Viridiplantae; Streptophyta; Magnoliopsida; Poales; Poaceae
Exons: 8
Source: RefSeq, marked validated
AAAGCCUAAACCUGGUCGAAAUUGUUUUUGCUCGUCUGUUCUUCGUUGGAUAACUAGAAAAAUUUCCUCCCAAAAUUGCCGCCGUCGCCUCCGUGUCCUUCCACGGCAGGGACCCGCCGGAGCAUCACCGCCUCCGUCCAUGUCGCUCAACCGCCUCAAGGAAACCCUCCACGCCUGUUCCUCUUCCUCCUCCGAACCACGGACCCAACCGCGCUCACCACAGCAUCCUGCCCGCCUUCCGCGGAGACCCCCAAAGACGUCCCUUUCGCAGCAGCUCCUCCGCCUCGAGGCCGCCGCCUCUUCAUCCUCCUUCUUCUCCUCCAGGCCCUUACAGCUCCCACCCGCCCCCAGGCCCCCGAUCGAGAAGCCGCGGGAGGAUGUCGAACCGCCGUCGUCGGAGGAUGAGGACGAGAGAAAAAGUCGCCCCAUUAUCCGCCGCUGCCUGCAUCCGCCACCAGCGGCCGCCCUCGAGUCCCGCGGGCCAUACGAGCCACUUGUGCUCUCGCUGCCUGGAGAGCACCCUGUCGUCCAGGUGCCCCCAUCAAUAAAUUGCAGGCUACUUGCGCAUCAGAGGGACGGUGUGAGAUUCUUAUACAAUUUGUAUAGAAACAAUCAUGGCGGUGUUCUUGGAGAUGACAUGGGUUUGGGGAAGACCAUUCAAACUAUUGCUUUUUUGUCUUCUGUUAUUGGAAAAGGCAAUGGCCAUGGGCAAUCAACAAACAAAGGAAAGAUGACUGGUCCUGUACUCAUCCUCUGCCCUACUUCGGUGAUCCGGAACUGGGAAAAUGAAUUUUCCGAGUGGGCAGAAUUCUCUGUUGCUGUCUAUCAUGGUCCAAAUCGUGAUUUAGUUCUUGGAAAAAUUGAAAAUCAAGGACUGGAGGUACUCAUUACCAGUUUUGACACUUUCAGAAUUCAUGAUAAGGUUUUAUGUGGUAUCUCGUGGGAACUUGUGGUUGUUGAUGAGGCACAUCGUCUCAAGAAUGAAAAGUCCAAGUUAUAUACAGCAUGCUUGGGGAUAACAACUCAAAAGCGGUUUGGUCUCACGGGGACCAUAAUGCAGAAUAAGAUCAUGGAAUUAUUUAAUCUAUUUGACUGGGUCGUGCCUGGCUGCUUAGGGGACCGAGAACACUUUCGAGCUUAUUAUGAUGAGCCUCUAAAACAGGGUCAGAGGCUAAGUGCUCCUGAGAGAUUUGUUCAAGUUGCUGAUGCGCGCAAGAAGCACCUUGUUUCCAUUCUUAGGGAAUUCUUAUUGAGAAGGACAAAAGAGGAGACAAUUGGACAUCUUAUGCUUGGGAAGGAGGAUAAUAUUGUUUUCUGCAAAAUGAGUGACGUUCAAAAACGUGUUUAUAGAAGAAUGCUGCAACAACCUGAUAUACAAAUCCUUAUUAAUAAGGAUGUCCGCUGUAGCUGUGGAAGUCCUUUACCUCAGGUUGAAUGUUGCAAGAGAACUGAACCAGAUGGUGUUAUAUGGUCUUAUCUUCACAGAGAGAACCCUGAAGGCUGUUCUAUAUGCCCCUUCUGUCUUGUUCUUCCUUUCCUCGUCAAGCUUCAGCAGAUUAGCAACCAUCUGGAGCUGAUAAAACCUAAUCCAAAGGAUGAGCUUGAAAAGCAGAAGAAAGAUGCUGAACUUGCAGCUGCUGUCUUUGGUGCAGAUAUUGACUUAGUUGGUGGUACUGCUAAAAGUGAGAACUUCAUGGGUCUCAGUGAUGCUGAGAACUGUGGAAAGAUGCGAGCACUAGAAAGGCUUCUGUCAUUAUGGACUGGACAGGGUGACAAGAUUCUUCUUUUCAGUUAUUCUGUCAGGAUGCUUGACAUACUAGAGAAGUUUCUCAUAAGGAAGGGUUAUUGCUUUUCACGCUUCGAUGGAACAACUCCGAUGAAUGCACGCCAAUCACUAGUGGAUGAGUUCAACAGAAGCCCUAGCAAACAGGUUUUCCUUAUAUCUACUCGAGCAGGUAAUUUAGGUGUAAACCUUGUUAGUGCUAACCGCGUGGUGAUAUUUGAUCCAAGUUGGAACCCUGCCCAAGACUUGCAAGCACAAGACAGAUCAUUUCGGUAUGGACAGAGACGGCAUGUUACAGUAUUUCGCCUACUUGGUGCCGGUUCACUUGAAGAGCUCAUUUAUUCUAGGCAAAUAUAUAAACAGCAGCUUUCCAACAUUGCAGUCUCUGGAAAAAUAGAGAGGCGUUACUUUGAAGGUGUGCAGCAGGAACUAGAUCCCAAGUGUUAUUUUUUCAUCAGCGCAUCAAAUUCAGCAUUGAUGGCGUUCUUCCAAAGUUCCAAUUGUCGUCACCUAGAGCUUCAGACAUGUCUUGAGGUUCACCGGUGGUGGUAAAACAACCAUAUUUAAUGAGUAAUUUUUCCAUCUUGUGAUCUUGUCCGAGGACGCUGGUCUAUGUAAAUAGUGAGAACGGGAGGUCGGUGGGGUGAUGGAGUUGUUGGUCCUGAUGAAACCGUGCACUGAUGUCGAGUCAUCUGAAGGUUCUGUUGCACUACUUUCUGCUACUUAAGGGACCGGUAGAGCUCGAUGAUGUUGCUGCAUUGUGAUCAGGCGCAUCAGAGACAUGAUCUGUAAGACUUUGAUGUGUUGUUUGAUCUGUACAGGAUUUAGCUUCAUUUGUCCUCCUUUUGGUUCCUUGCUGGUAAAACAGGUGAGGUGAGACAACUUGUUUUUGUGCAGACACGCAGUGCUGGUCUGGUUGCUGUAUCUACGCACCACCCUCCUGAACUUGGGUAGAGCUUGUACAACAUCUUCUAGCCUAUCACCAAUAACACUUCAUGAUUUUCAUUAGUAGUAUUGUCAUAUGAAUCAUUAGACAACGAGUUCCCAUGUUGUCAAAGUUCGAUGAAGGUAAAAGGGUGCAAGACAACAUAUUGAUUUGGCCCUUAGUCUAGCAUCAACAUUAGGGUGAAGCCCAACAAAUGGAAAAACUUCUUCAUCAUAUCCUACCAAAAUGUACGAGACAAGUUAUUCAUCAUGUCCUUCCAGAAUGUAUGAGACAAGUUCUUCAUCAUCAUUAGUCUUCUUUGCAGAUGUCAUAUGAUCUACAAGAAAUUUCAUCUUGGCAAUAUAUUUAGCCACUGUUAUGUUACCUUUUCUUGUGGUUGCUAGGGUAAUCUGUGUGUUCAUGGUUCGAGCUCUUGACUGCUACGUGUAGGACUUCUGUAGUUCUGACCCUAUCUCAUGAGGUGUUUCGUAGAUGUAGGUUGUGUGAUAUCCUGGCUCCAGUGGAUGGUGACAUCCUGGCCAAGGCUUAAUAGAAUUAAUAGAGUACUCAUACCAACAAGGUGCAUCUUCUUUUUUGGAAGCCUAUCUCGAAAGAACCUCUGGGUUAAGCGUGCUUGACACAGAGCAAUCUUGGUAUGGGUGACCGACCGGGAAGUCUUCUCGUGUGCGCAUGAGUGAGGACAAAGUGCAUAAAAGACUUGUGUUGGUCUGUGAGGAUGGUUUGUGGUCCUAGAGGGCUGCCAGGAGUAAGUACCGCUGGUACGGGAGUAGACAGGGUGUUACAAGAUGGCAACCUGACCCAUGGCUUCCCGAGUCAUGAAUGUCAUGAGGAAGCCAAAGACCUGUUGUUGGAGCGUGACCCAUCGGAUAUACACCGGGUUGACGUCGUAGGUCAUCUUGCCAUCCUGCUUGACGACGAGGAUAUUCUCAUCGGGCGGCCGGGCGCUACAGCCAUGCCAUCUAGGUAGCCUUGUAGCUUUUUUUUUUUAGAUAAUGGAAAAAUCAUCCGACCUUGGCCUCAAAUGAGGUUACGGCCAUUUAUUACAAGGGACGGAAGCAUAUUGCCAAAACUCCUCCUAUGACCACUUCAGAGAACCCCAACUAGCCAAAUUAAAGAACUUCAGCUAUCGAACCACAGCUACUACAUAAUUAAACGCAACGCAGACCCCCAUCCAAAAUUGCUAAAGAACUGUAGUAGCACCCUCUUCACAUUACGACAUGAAGACUUUAUUAACUCUUGGUCCUCCCUUCUAGGCUGAAGCUGAGACCAGAAGCGGCACCAAUAUGUUGCCCUGAAGGUUACCUGCACACAUGAUUUAGGAGAUGAAUUAUUGAACACCACAUCAUUUCUACUUAACCAAAUAGCCCAACAAAUUGCCGAUGCAACGGUUAAUAGUAGGUUUCGAACUCUGGGAAGCCUCCCGCUCGCCCAAACCCCAAACAAAUCAUUAACAUCCCGAGGAGGUCUCAACCCCGUGCUUAUCUGAAUCAACCGCCAAAUGAAUGACGCAUACAAACAACUGAAAAAUAGGUGCUUUAUUGUCUCCGGUCUACUACAAAAGCAACAUAUCUUAUUCCCAUUCCAAUGCCUCCUAGCCAAGUUAUCCUUUGUUAAUGUUACCCCUCUUUUGAGGUACCACAUAAAAAUCUUAAUUUUCAGAGGAAGCCUAAGUUUCCAAAGGUCCUUAUUAUGCACCCCCAACCCAUUGUUAAGAGAUGCCAGAUACAGAGACUUAACCGUAAACAUAUUCUCAUCGGGCGGCCGGGCGCUACAGCCAUGCCAUCUAGGUAGCCUUGUAGCUGCGCGCCUCUAAGGAUGGGUUUGCACUUUCCUUGCCCUAGGAGAGACGUCGGUACUGUGGAAUUGGAUGUCGUCGUGGGAUCUUAUUGCUGGUGAGGUUUAUGUCAUCUUCCUCUUGAUCAGGACAUCAACUAAUAGAUGUAGGAGGUGGAUCUGAUUGUCAUAUAAGAAACACGACACUGAGAUAUUAUAUUGCUUGCCUUGACCUCUAGGUCUAUAGGGUUGUAUAACCGCCUAUUACAAGGCUUUGUCCCCCUUCUUAGUUGCAAGGGGGCAGCCAAGAAGGAGACUGGAACUAGGCUUUGGCCCCCUAAAAGCUAAAAGCCAAACCAAAGGACUGGAACUAGGAAGCAACUUUUUUCAAAAGCUGACUUUCUCGCAGUGUAAAACUGAAAGCACCUCUAGACCUGCUUUUAGCGGCUUUCGGAUGGAACUAUGAAAAUAUAUAUGGAAAAACUUUUAGCGGCUUUUAGUGGGUUCUACCAAACAAUUUUAUGAUUUUUAACAGCUCAUAGCUUACAACAACUUUUUUCACAGCUCACAGCCCACAACAACUUUUUUCACGGCCGCAGCUCAACCAAACAGACCCUAUGUAUAGCAUAUUCUAACAAGAAGUAUCUUGAUAGUUGAUACCAUUAAAUGGAGGACAUAAAUUGCUUUCCAGGGCAUUUGCAUUGGUACAAUUUUGAGCUGGCUUGGAACAAAAGAUGAUGAGGAUGGGGUUUAUUUACUCAAUAUUCUUGGAUAGACGUAGUCAUGAAUUAAUUUUUUUGUCCAUUCUAUGUGGCACGUAACUUUACAGCUACACCAAAAAGGAUCAUGUUAUGUUCUUUUUGUGUUCUGCUACGACUGUGUUUGCCCAAGUUAAUCAUUGCAUUUGGUUCAGUUCCAUAAACAUUUUCCAUGUUUUCCAAAAAAAAAGCUCUAACAGUGUAAGAAAUAUGUGUUUUUCAUUUUCUUCUUAUCUUCAGAGAUGUGUUAGGAUUGAGACAUUUGAUAAGGACUUCAUACGUUUAGAAAUGUUUCAAAUUUCUGACUGUUAUACACCUGCUUUUUGGUUCCAAGGCCCAAUCAGGAUGUUAAGUGUUUGAAAUUCAUACAUUGAUGCUUCAUACCUCGGUGUAUUGUUACAAGUGACACUGUAAUCCACAGAAUAACAUUACGCAUAAUUGUUGUUAGAUGACAUUUGAGCAAAACCAAGCAUGUCACCACCAAACGAACUUCCUAUGCAGUUUUUUUUCUCACAUCAGCAUAUGUUAGUUUGAGAUUUUAAGUUUGGGCUGUUUUAGCUGUUGUGGGUGUGGCAGACCAGGUGCAAUCUCGACUGCACAAUAGUUUAAUUCGGAUUGGCCUUUUGGUAGUUGUAAGUUAACAGCUUACUGACUAGAUAUCUGGUGUCCAUUUUGGAUAAUUCUGAUUUAGGAUGACAAGAAAUUUCAAGGUGAGCUCUUUGGGAUCUGCAAUCUUUUCCGUGACUUGUCCGAUAAGCUUUUUACUAGUGAGAUUAUUGAGAUGCAUGGAGAACAUGGCAAGAGUAGUGCAACAGAAGCAACAGGGAUAAGAGAAAUAGUCGAUACUGAUUUAUUUGGUUCACAAGAGAAUAGGAAGUCUUCCACAGCAACAACACAUACGGAUGAUCAGAAAUUGGUUGAUUUUGGGAUAGUUUAUGCCCACCGCAACGAGGAUGUCGUGAACAUGAGGACAGACGGAAGAGAGAAAGGUGGAGCAGACGAGACUGUCCAGAGCUCCUUAGAGGAGCUGCUUAGUAAGAAUGAAACAAAGCACACUGCCAUGGAAAAAUCUUAUUCAUCGGAGGAGAAAAGGGAAGUGGCAAGAUCUUAUUCACUGGAGCAGAAAAAGAAAGAGUUUAGCUGCAUCGCAUCCUUCAUGGGUAUGGAUGACCUUGAAUUUAGCAAGUGGUUGCUAUCAGCCUCACCGCACCAGCGGUCUGAAGUGCUGCAGGACUACAGGAGGAAGAAGAAAAAUCAGAAAUGAUGAUGCAGGUCCUCGGAGCUAACCGGCUACCGCAAAGCUUUGACGUAGUGAUUAGCUUGUGUAGCUAAUUGUGGUAGUUAUGACAAGGGAAUGGUAGUAAAAUUGACCCGUGGCACCGAUCAGUAUGUAUGUCUGCAGCCCCGCUUAUUUUGAACCUUAUAUUGGUGCAAACUGAGCUCAGCAAGGCCUUGGUCACUCUCCCUGGCCGUUUUUUUUCGGUCAGGUGAAAUAUAAUCUGUAUUGUGUCUGUUAGUUCCUGUUCAGCUGUCUAAGCCUUUGUGUAGCGAGUCUUAUCAUGUUAGGUGGCUUGCAAUGUUACCUUGGUCUGUACUAAUCAUUUGGAUAUCGUAGUCUUCUCCGUACUAAAAUAUAAUUCGUUUUAGAUUAAA